UGUCUUCCUUCUCUCUCUUCCUUGUUUGUCACUCAGAAGUGUUUCUCCAUUCCUGCCUCUGUGACUCAUUCGAGAAGACAUUAGAAGCUAUGUUUUGCAACACCUUUCCAUGAAAUAGAGAGAACAUCAGUGCCCGCUCCAGUAAGAGGACUCCAGUCCCUUGCUAUUGGGGAAAACCUGAGAAUUCUUUUGUACAGCCAACAUGAAGAAGCCCUGGGUUAAACCAUCCUGGCACCAUGUCCCUCUGUCAUCUACAGACAUGCUCUUGCACAUGGCACUCCCAAUAGCUGAAGACAAGAGGAUACACGUGUUUGAAUGAACACAAGUUUUCUAUCUUCCUGUAGGUGUCGAGGAAGACUGAUUCAUGCUUAUGGGAGACACAAUGGAACAUAUGAUUCAGCGUGCAUCAUGGUCUCUUUCAUUUUGUUAUACAGAGUUACACAACAGAAGUUCUCAUACAAGUAGUUAAUAAACUUUGAAGUAUUUUAAAUGA
Long non-coding RNA from Myodes glareolus (Bank vole), 493 nucleotides. RefSeq lists it as uncharacterized. The record is from RefSeq and is a predicted model, not a curated record. NCBI's taxonomy places the organism in Eukaryota, Metazoa, Chordata, Mammalia, Rodentia, Cricetidae.